CGCUGCUGGGCCCGGGCGGGGGUGGGAGAGUGUUUGUCCCGUGGGGCUGUGAGGACCGCGGUUCCCCGGGAACUUCGCGCCAGGCUGCCAGAGAAGCUUCACGAAAGGCCACACGUCCGGCUCCUUGCAUUCCAGCCUCUCCUUCUCUCCGCACUUCUUCUCAAGGUCCACGAGCCAUCAGCUGCCCCGGUUAGGUCCGCUCCGCGAGCUGGACUUUGGCAUCCUGGCUCCGGGGCCAGAGUGGGAGCACCGAUUGGUUUGAGGAUUCCAGACCCGGGCCGGUAGCAGAUCGGAGUCGGGGGUGCCCCUGAUGGACGCGCGCUUGGGCAAACUUCUCCACAUAGGGACCAGCGAACAGAGCCCCAGAGCAGGGAUACUUCAACGCACUCUGCCCUCUCCGUGUCCGAGCCACUGCGUCUUGUUCCAGUGAAAGAGCCAUGGCAACAGGCAAGAAAGCUUGAGCAGCUCGUAUUUGAAAUGGAAACCCCUGCACAGCCUUGGAGGAGACCUGGAAUAGACAAGGACAGAGACGGAGAGUUAGUGACUCCCCAGGAGCACAGAAUUCCAGUGGACCCAGAAGGCAUGGAGGUUUAGCGAGACUCAAAGCAAGUACAAGGCACCAUCACACAUUCGUUCCAUCAAGUUUCAUUCCAGCCAUGGAAUAUAAAAUCACGUUCCUGCCUCUACCAGUCCUCUGGAGCUGCCCUCCCUGGGUCACCAAGGACCUUCUCACUUCCAAGCUUAAAGAUAAUUUUUUAUGCAGUCUCCCUGAAACAGCUGACUUUGCCAACCAUUUCUUUCUUGAAACUCUUUUCUUGGUUGUUCACACUAGCUCCUUUUCCUCCACCUUCCUUUUAAAUGUUGGUGGUCUUCAGGCUCAGUCCUUUGGCCUUUUACCAUUAUCAUAUGCCAGUAGUAUGCAAUCAGGGGCAAUUGUGCCCUCCAGAGGAUAAUUGGGGUUAAGAGCUAUGGGUGCUAACCAAAAGGUCGGCAGUUCAAAUCCACUGGCUGCUCCUUGGAAACCGUAUGGGGCAGUUUUACUCUGUCCUAUAGGGUUGCUAUGAAUUGGAAUUGACUCGACAGUACAGGUUUGUUUUUUUGUUCUAAAGACAUUUUUGGCAGUUGCCUUGAUUAUCUAGUACUGCUACAACACAAAUACCACAAGUGGAUGCCUUUAACAAACAGAAGUCCAUUCUCUCAUGGUCUAGUAGGCUAGAAGCCCAUAUUUAGGGCAUUAGGUCCAGGGGAGGAAGGUCCUUGUCAUCAAUCUUCCCCUAGGCUAGGAGCUUCUCAGUGUAGGGGCCCCAGGUCCAAAGGACAUACUAUUCUCCUGGUUCUUGCUUCUUGAUGGUAUGAGGUCCCCCACUCUCUCUUAUUUCUCUUUUUUUAUAUCUCUUAUAAGAUAAAAGGUAAUACAGGCACAUCCCAAGGAAACUCCCUUUAUGUUGGAUCAGGAAUGUGACCUGAGUAAGGGUGUUACAUCCUACACUAAUCCUCUUUAACAUAAUCUAAUCUUGCCUCAUUAACCACCGGCAGAAAUUAGGGUUUACAACAGAUAUGAAAAUCAUAUCAAUCACCGAAUGGAGGACAACCACACAAUAUUUGGAAUCAUGGCCUAACCAAGUUGAUACAUGUUUUUGGGGAGGACACACUUCAAUCCAUAACGGUAGUAAUCACUGGGGGGUGGGGACUUGAUGAGCUGCUACUGGCAUCUGGAGGCCAGGGAUGCUGUUAACUAUCCUACAAUGCACAGGACAGCUCCCCACAAUGACGAAUUAUUUGGUCAUAAAUGCCAACAGUGCUGUGGUUUUAAGAAGAAGGCACUGGGGAGAGUGCAAAUCUUGGCACAAGUGAAUGAAUCACAAACGGUAGAUUUUCAGGCCUCCCUUGGGAGUUUAUUUCUGAAACAGGGCUGCUUCUUGGGGAAUAGCACGGUGCAAUGGAAGGGGAAGGGCUUUAGGAUCAGUGGUUCUAGGUUCAAACUCUCCUACAUUGGACAUCAUAAUUUUUAUUUUAUCGAGUUGUCUUGACCAAAUCAGAUAACCCAUAUAAAGCCCCAAGAACAUAGUAGGUCCACACAUGUUAGCCUUUCCCUUUAAAUCGUAUGACAUAGCAGAUAUCCCCCUCAAGAAGAGUUCCUGGCACAUAAUAAGAGUUGAAUAAAUAUUUGCAGGAUAAAAUAUGGGCAAACUAGCCAUCUAACCUAUUUAAGAGGUUAGUGUGAGAGAUCUUUAGCUAGAAGUGGUUUUCUUUUCUGUCCUUGUUGGACUUAAAGUUUAUAAGUGAGUUUUGUGACUCUUACUGCAUUGUAGCCUAGCCCCAUCAGCAUAAUAACCAGUGAAGUUUUAUGAGGUGAGGUGACUGGCUUGGCACGCAACUCUGCAGUUAGAGAGCAUGUGACCACCCAUAAUGUAAGGCAGUAAACAUGGGCAGCCUUGUUCUCUUGUGGUCACAGCACAAAGUAGCAAAAGGAGAAGGGUAAAUUCAGAGGCCAAUAUGGUAGCCCAGUCUUCAGGGUUGAUGCUAAGAGUCAAAGGAAAGGCUUACAUAUUUUGGGGAUCCAUCAUCUCUUUUUGGUGCCUAUGAAGAGGGCAUCAAUAUAACUUUUCUCCUGAUGUUCAAAGAAAGAAUCACCAUGGAGUCUACCCACUUCGAAUUUUGUAAGUGUACAUCAGCGACAUUUAGCAUUUCCCUUUAUCUCUCUGUUUUUGAUUCAUCCUUCACAUGGUAGAUAAUGAGAGCUUUGGGAUCACAAAUCUGGUUAUGCCACUAUCCCCUACUUCCAAUUAAAUUUAAGACAAAAACGAAAUUUCAUAACAUGGCACGUAGACCCCUGUAUGGUCAGCCUCUCCAUCCUCUUCUAGUCCCCCUUCAACUCACCUCCUUGACUAUACAAAACUACCACCCAGAGCUGUAUACCUCUUUCAUGGCCCUGGCACGGUUAUGCAAUUGUUCAUUUGUUGGUAUCAUUAGUUAAUUAACAUUUCUGUCUUUAAUUAACUCUUUGCUCCAUGAGACCAGGGAUUAUGUGUCUUCUAGGUUUUCGUCAUAUCCCCAGAGCCUGGCACAUAACAGCUGCUCAGUAAAUACUUCUUAAAUAAACAAAUAAUUAAGCAGAAUAGAUGAUAACAUUAGUAGCCAUCACUCACUACCUUUUAAUUUUAACUCCCUCCCUUAGCCUAGGUUCCAACCAAAACCUACUUUUGUCAACAUAUGUAACUACCAUUUCUAAACCAAGGAAGAUGUGAGAUAGAAAUAAAACAAGUUUCUUGAUGAUGAUAUAUGUGCAAUAUCAAUAUAUAGUUAAAUAAUAGAAUAAUUGCAGUAGCUAAAUCUUAGUUAAUAUUUACUUACUUCUUACUGUAUAGCAGGCAUUUGGCCAGGUAAUAGGUAUAAAAUAUUGAGUAAAAUCAGACAUGACACCUUACAUGCAUUAUCUCAUUUUUAUUGGCCGAUUAGUUGGGCACAAUUAUUUUUCCCACCUUUGUAGAUGAGAAUAUUGUAGCAUUGGAAGCUUAGGUAAAUUGCUUGUGAUCAUAAAGCCAGUAAAUUGGUGAUAGAGCAGGUAUUUGAACCAAGGAUGACUCCAGAGUUGUUCACCAUUAUGCUGUAUAAUUUUAGAAGAAAAGAUAUAAGUUUAGUCUAGUGCAUUGACUUAAGAGGUCAUAUCUAUUGGCAAAUGCCGCAGAUGCUGACAGAACCACCAGCAUCUACCAUCCACCCUGGACUGAACAUCGCUGCGGGCUGAGCACUGUUCUAGGUGCCGUAUGUGCAUUAUCUCUUAUCUUCAAAACAAUCUACUCGUAGGUGUUAUUAUUCUCAUCUUGAUGGCUCAGUGGUUAAGAGCUCAACUGUUAACUAAAAGGUCGGCAGUUCAAAUCCACCAGCCACUCCUUGGAAACUCUAUGGGGCGGUUCUACUCUGUCCUAUAGGGUCACUAUGAGUUGGAACCAACUCCAUGGCAAUGGGUUUGGUUUGGUUUUUGGUUACAGUUGAGCCAAGGAAGCAGGUAGGAGGAAGAGGCAGAGAAGAAGGCAAAGACAGUUGGGACAUUUGAAAACUUUCUAGUCCCCCAAGUCUUUACAGUAUAACUUUUUAAUUCUAUUUUAAAGUCAGGAAAGCCUUCUGAAUUCAGACACAAUAAGCCCAGAAUUUGUAAUACCGAGACACUGAAUCAUAGACUUUUAUAACUGAAAAAGAUGUGAGAGAUCAUCUAGUCUAGUCCAGCCCUUCACGAGGCUUCUGAUUGAGUAUAAAACUGGAUAAAUCUUAGGUAGCUCAAAACUUAUGUUUUAUUCGUACAGUGUUAUGAUUUAUAGGCCAAUCACAGCUUCCCAUUUCAAAGAACCUACUCAAUUUAAAUGAAUAUAGUAACCACUUCAACUUAUAACUAGAUUCGAAUAUAAGAAAACUGCAUUUCUUUAUAAGUAUUUUACAUUUGUAGUAUUUACUAAUUCAGGUAGGAGUAUACCAUCAGGGUUCUUCUUAAUCCUAUAAAUAGGAUUUUAUUGUCCGAGGAAGUCUCAUGAUCUGAGGCAUACACAUAUCCCAGGGUAGAGAAGCACAUUCCCAAAGUCAGAUAAAAUCUCCCCUCUCUCUCUCUCUCUCAUGUCCUUUUAAAUCCAUGCCACUGCUGCAUUCUAUUGUCUUGGACAAGUGAGGCUUGAUCAAGGAUUUUAAAGCUUUUGUCCCCUGGCCAUCUGUAGCACCUAGAAUGCUUCUGAAUCCCCAGGCCAUUCAAAAAAGAAUAACUUUAGGUAGGAAAGAGGAUGUUAUUGGUGAAAUUAGAAACUCUCCUGAAUUUAAUGAGGGACCCCACCUCCCCAGGGGGGCAUGUCUUCAAAGAUAUCACUGGGAGCUCAGAGGAAAAUAUUAUGUUCUAACCUUUUAAAAAUUAAUCCAACUAUUAGCAGGGAUCCCAACUGUAUUUCAUUCAAGCCAUAAUCUGAAAGGCACGAUGAUUAAACCAAGACAAAUGUAGUGUCAUAGGCAAAUGUCAUGCCAUAGAUUUACCUACCAACAAGACAUUGGCAUGGUUCAGGUCAGAGGUUAAUUAAAGACAUUGAAAGGUCGUUCUGUGAUUAGGUGCAAGCAGAGUUUUAAUAGGGCAUCAGUCUGACCCACACUGACAAAAGAUUUAUGCCAGCGGUGAUGACACCGCCAAGAAUCGUGCUGAUAACAAGAGCCUCAAUAUUGGCCUCAACAGAAUGAUGAAUGGAGCCCAUAUCUCCUCACACUUCUCAUUACAAGCUCUUUCACUCCUGGUGGCACUUAGCAGCAUUUAUUUACUGGGGUUUGAAGGUGGGGGACAGCAGAACAGUAUAUCUAACACUUUUAAAUGUAGACUUGUGAUAUAAAAAUGAAACAAGAGAUAAGGUCUUUGAAUAAUCGUGCAGCUUUUCCUCCUGUAUUAUAUUCACUAGUACUAACAUUAUUUUUCCUCCCAAUGUUCUUCUAGUGUGUGAGCAGUUCGAGAAAAUUAAUUGUCUGAAGCAGAAGGUCAGAGGGAAAAAAUUACUGAUAAGCAUUAAACAUGCUAUAAAAUAGCACUUCCCCAUAUUUUGCUGUCAUAGCUUUAGAACGCAAACAAGAGAUAAUAGAGAGCAAAGGAUGUACACAUUUUCCCCUAUGCCAUGUUUAUGUUCGCUUAACUGUUGUUCUUAUUUGGAUAUGAUUAGGGAAAGGAUCUACAAAGCAAGCCAAAUACGUAAAUAAAAAAAUAUAUAUUUAAAAAUCAAACAACCAAAAAGCUUACAAUCCAGCUCAGCUGAAAGCAAAUGGAAGAGAAAAUAAAGCCCUGAUGAAUAACGUUUACUUUUCCAAGAAACUCCUUUUCAACCUGUUAUAUAUUUAUCAAACCACUAGAGUGUAAAUUCUAUGAAUAAGUCCUAUCAUCUCUCAACCAGUAGACACCAUAAAAAUUAUAACUACAGAAAAUUGUUAGCAUUAUAAAAGGCUACUUUCUAUAGGUUCAAAUGUAUCUGCUGCUGCAAUUUCCCAACAGAAGAAAAAAAUCAUAAUCUUUCUGCUUGGGCCACCAACCAGGGCCAGCCCAGGGGAAGAGCACAUCACAUCUAACCCCAGGUCAGCGCUCAGAUUUAUUCGGAAACAGAGAUGAAUCAGCUUGAAUGAACGCGGCGGAACUGGAAACCGACUGCAGGAGAGCUCUGCUUUCUUUCCCUUUUCAGGAGCAUUUUGUUUGUGAGUAGAUCAAGUUGUAGCUUUUGGGUAGACUUAACCAAAUUACCUGGGUGGUAAAAGCAGUUAACAUGCUUGGCUACUAACUGAGAGAUUGGAAAGUUUGAGUUCACCCAGAGGCACCUUGAAAGAAACGCCUGGUGAUCUACUUCCAAAAAAUCAGCCAGUGAAAACCCUGUGGAGCAUAGUUCUACCCUGACACACAUGGGUUCCCCCUGAGUCGGAAUCGGUUUCAUGGCAACUGGUCCUGGUGGCACAGUG
Loxodonta africana (African savanna elephant) is the source of this 6459-nucleotide long non-coding RNA. RefSeq lists it as uncharacterized. The transcript has 5 exons. The record is from RefSeq and is a predicted model, not a curated record. Lineage: Eukaryota; Metazoa; Chordata; Mammalia; Proboscidea; Elephantidae.